AUUCACUCAGAGUCAGUGGUGUUUUGGCCUCGAUCACGAGCAGGUGGACCCUGUCUGCCUCCGCUAUGGCCCUGCCUGCCACGCGCGCCGACGACCUACUCCGUGCCAUUUGUCUCUCUUAGAUGACUACUCCGCUUCCCAACCCUCGGACAGAUAGACGGAAAGGCACUGGGCCGCUCUUCUUUUUUUAUUUAUUUUUUUUCGAAAGGAUUUACCAAAUUCUUUGCUCUCCACUUCUCCUCCGACCACCUGGUUCCUCCGUAAGCCGAAGAUUCUGAAAUCUGUCACCAGAUUACUCGCCAUAAAAUGGAACCGAGUGUUUUUUUAGCCAGAUUCUGAGUUUGGAGUUUCAGAUUUUUGGGGUUUCUUACUCUCGGUCGAGAUACCAGCUUCAGUCGUCAUAAUGCAGCCAGCGGACUGGUGUUUAUUGUUGGUCUUUAUCGCAACCGUGACUGCGCAUGCAGAAUCCACUGUUAUUUUCAACAAGACAAAAACCAAGGUCUACCCACCUGUGCCCAGGAGCUUACCCCACUUCAGCUUCAGGUGAG
This is a long non-coding RNA of Macrobrachium nipponense, 548 nucleotides long. RefSeq lists it as uncharacterized. The transcript is spliced from 3 exons. NCBI's taxonomy places the organism in Eukaryota, Metazoa, Arthropoda, Malacostraca, Decapoda, Palaemonidae. The record is from RefSeq and is a predicted model, not a curated record.